Molecule: ribosomal RNA, 208 nt
Filed under: uncultured Streptococcus sp.
Lineage: Bacteria; Bacillati; Bacillota; Bacilli; Lactobacillales; Streptococcaceae
Description: partial 16S ribosomal RNA
Rfam family: Bacterial small subunit ribosomal RNA
Source: RNAcentral
UGGGAUGACGUCAAUCAUCAUGCCCCUUAUGACCUGGGCUACGACACGUGCUACAAUGGUUGGUACAACGAGUUGCGAGUCGGUGACGGCGAGCUAAUCUCUUAAAGCCAAUCUCAGUUCGGAUUGUAGGCUGCAACUCGCCUACAUGAAGUCGGAAUCGCUAGUAAUCGCGGAUCAGCACGCCGCGGUGAAUACGUUCCCGGGCCUU